RNAcentral lists this ribosomal RNA (639 nucleotides) under Opisthius richardsoni. RNAcentral describes it as "partial large subunit ribosomal RNA". The stretch from base 390 to 548 matches the Rfam family "Bacterial large subunit ribosomal RNA", at positions 2473 to 2632 of the family's 2925-position model. Lineage: Eukaryota; Metazoa; Arthropoda; Insecta; Coleoptera; Carabidae. The record is from RNAcentral.
GUCCUUUUGAUUAUAAUUUAAGGUCUAACCUGCCCACUGAAUUUAUAUUUAAAUGGCCGCAGUAUUUUGACUGUGCAAAGGUAGCAUAAUAAUUAGUUUUUUAAUUAAAAGCUUGUAUGAAAGGUUUGACGAGGUAAAAUCUGUCUCUAUUUAAUUUAAUUUAGAAUUUAACUUUUAAGUUAAAAGGCUUAAAUUUUUGUAAAAGACGAGAAGACCCUAUAGAUCUUUAUAUUUUUAUAAAUAAAAUUAAUUAAGAAUUUUUUAUAUUUUAUUUAUAUAAUUAUUUUAUUGGGGUAAUAAAAAGAUUAAAAAAAUUCUUUAUAUUUAUAUACAUUGAUUAAUGUUAUUUUGAUCCAGUUUUAUUGAUUAUAAGAUUAAGUUACCUUAGGGAUAACAGCGUAAUUUUUUUAGAGAGUUCAUAUCGAUAAAAAAGUUUGCGACCUCGAUGUUGGAUUAAAAAUUAUUUUAGGUGCAGAAGCUUAAAAAAUUGGUCUGUUCGACCAUUGAAUUUUUACAUGAUCUGAGUUCAGACCGGCGUAAGCCAGGUCGGUUUCUAUCUUUAUAUAAUAUAAAUAUUUUAGUACGAAAGGACCAAAUAUUUGAUAUAAUAAUAUUUUUAUAAUUGAAUUUCAUUAAAUA